GAUGAACGCUAGCUACAGGCUUAACACAUGCAAGUCGAGGGGCAUCAGGAAGAAAGCUUGCUUUCUUUGCUGGCGACCGGCGGACGGGUGAGUAACGCGUGAGUAACCUGCCCUUGAGAGGGGGAUAACGUCUGGAAACGGACGCUAAUACCGCAUAAAAUUAUCCAGUCGCAUGGCAGGAUAAUCAAAGGAGCAAUCCGCUGAAGGAUGGACUCGCGUCCGAUUAGAUAGUUGGUGAGGUAAAGGCUCACCAAGUCGACGAUCGGUAGCCGGACUGAGAGGUUGAACGGCCACAUUGGGACUGAGACACGGCCCAGACUCCUACGGGAGGCAGCAGUGGGGGAUAUUGCACAAUGGGCGAAAGCCUGAUGCAGCAACGCCGCGUGCAGGAAGACGGGUCCUAUGGAUUGUAAACUGCUUUAGCAUGGGAGCAAUAAGGUGU
RNAcentral lists this ribosomal RNA (442 nucleotides) under uncultured bacterium. RNAcentral describes it as "bacterial SSU rRNA". It matches the Rfam family "Bacterial small subunit ribosomal RNA", at positions 28 to 457 of the family's 1533-position model. The record is from RNAcentral.